GAUGAAGAACGUAGCGAAAUGCGAUAAGUAAUGUGAAUUGCAGAAUUCAGUGAAUCAUCGAAUCUUUGAACGCACAUUGCGCCCGCCAGUAUUCUGGCGGGCAUGCCUGUUCGAGCGUCAUUUCAACCAUCAAGCCCCAGGCUUGUGUUGGGUACCUGCGGCUGCCGCAGGCCCUGAAAACCAGUGGCGGGCUCGCUGUCACACCGGGCGUAGUAGAUUUUAUCUCGCUCAGGGCGUGCUGCGGGUUCCGGCCGUUAAAAAGCCUUUUUUACCCAAGGUUGACCUCGGAUCAGGUAGGAAGACCCGCUGAACUUAAGCAUAUCAAUAAGCGGAGGA
This 336-nucleotide unclassified non-coding RNA is filed under the name soil metagenome. Its description in RNAcentral is "partial contains 5.8S ribosomal RNA, internal transcribed spacer 2, and large subunit ribosomal RNA". The stretch from base 1 to 120 matches the Rfam family "5.8S ribosomal RNA", at positions 35 to 154 of the family's 154-position model. The record is from RNAcentral.